CAGCCGCCGCGGUAAUACGGAGGGGGCUAGCGUUGUUCGGAAUUACUGGGCGUAAAGCGCACGUAGGCGGCUUUGUAAGUUAGAGGUGAAAGCCCGGAGCUCAACUCCGGAAUUGCCUUUAAGACUGCAGAGCUAGCAGGUGAGAGAGGUGAGUGGAAUUCCGAGUGUAGAGGUGAAAUUCGUAGAUAUUCGGAAGAACACCAGUGGCGAAGGCGGCUCACUGGCUCAUUCUAGACGCUGAGGUGCGAAAGCGUGGGGAGCAAACAGGAUUAGAUACCCGGGUAGUCCCUGUCUCUUAUAC
This 301-nucleotide ribosomal RNA is filed under the name uncultured bacterium. RNAcentral describes it as "partial 16S ribosomal RNA". It matches the Rfam family "Bacterial small subunit ribosomal RNA", at positions 509 to 807 of the family's 1533-position model. The record is from RNAcentral.